UACGUAGGUGGCAAGCGUUGUCCGGAAUUACUGGGCGUAAAGGGCUCGUAGGCGGCCAACUAAGUCGGAUGUGAAAUCCCCAGGCUCAACUUGGGAACUGCAUCCGAUACUGGAUGGCUUGAAUUCGGGAGAGGGAUGCAGAAUUCUAGGUGUAGCGGUGAAAUGCGUAGAUAUCUGGAGGAACACCGGUGGCGAAGGCAGCCUUCUGGGCCAACACUGACGCUCAUGCACGAAAGCGUGGGGAGCAAACAGG
RNAcentral lists this ribosomal RNA (253 nucleotides) under uncultured bacterium. RNAcentral's name for it is "partial 16S ribosomal RNA". It matches the Rfam family "Bacterial small subunit ribosomal RNA", at positions 524 to 776 of the family's 1533-position model. The record is from RNAcentral.